AGUGGGGAAUCUUGCGCAAUGGGCGAAAGCCUGACGCAGCAACGCCGCGUGCGGGAUGACGGCCUUCGGGUUGUAAACCGCUUUCAGUGGGGACGAAUUCAGACGGUACCCACAGAAGAAGCCCCGGCCAACUACGUGCCAGCAGCCGCGGUAACACGUAGGGGGCGAGCGUUGUCCGGAUUCAUUGGGCGUAAAGAGCUCGUAGGCGGCUCAGUAAGUCGGGUGUGAAACCCUCAGGCUCAACCUGGGGACGCCACUCGAUACUGCUGUGGCUAGAGUCCAGUAGAGGAGUGUGGAAUUCCCGGUGUAGCGGUGAAAUGCGCAGAUAUCGGGAGGAACACCAACGGCGAAGGCAGCACUCUGGGCUGGUACUGACGCUGAGGAGCGAAAGCGUGGGUAGCAAA
This 404-nucleotide ribosomal RNA is filed under the name uncultured Acidimicrobiales bacterium. Its description in RNAcentral is "bacterial SSU rRNA". It matches the Rfam family "Bacterial small subunit ribosomal RNA", at positions 353 to 772 of the family's 1533-position model. Lineage: Bacteria; Bacillati; Actinomycetota; Acidimicrobiia; Acidimicrobiales. The record is from RNAcentral.